RNAcentral lists this ribosomal RNA (523 nucleotides) under uncultured bacterium. RNAcentral's name for it is "partial 16S ribosomal RNA". It matches the Rfam family "Bacterial small subunit ribosomal RNA", at positions 28 to 523 of the family's 1533-position model. The record is from RNAcentral.
GACGAACGCUGGCGGCGUGCCUAAUACAUGCAAGUCGAACGCUUCUUUCCUCCCGAGUGCUUGCACUCAAUUGGAAAGAGGAGUGGCGGACGGGUGAGUAACACAUGGGUAACCUACCCAUCAGAGGGGGAUAACACUUGGAAACAGGUGCUAAUACCGCAUAACAGUUUAUGCCGCAUGGCAUAAGAGUGAAAGGCGCUUUCGGGUGUCGCUGAUGGCUGGACCCGCGGUGCAUUAGCUAGUUGGUGAGGUAACGGCUCACCAAGGCCACGAUGCAUAGCCGACCUGAGAGGGUGAUCGGCCACACUGGACUGAGACACGGCCCAGACUCCUACGGGAGGCAGCAGUAGGGAAUCUUCGGCAGUGGACGGAAGUCUGACCGAGCAACGCCGCGUGAGUGAAGAAGGUUUUCGGAUCGUAAAACUCUGUUGUUAGAGAAGAACAAGGACGUUAGUAACUGAACGUCCCCUGACGGUAUCUAACCAGAAAGCCACGGCUAACUACGUGCCAGCAGCCGCGGUAA